UACGUAGGGUGCAAGCGUUGUCCGGAAUUAUUGGGCGUAAAGAGCUCGUAGGCGGUUCGUCGCGUCGGCUGUGAAAACCUGGGGCUCAACCCCGGGCCUGCAGCCGAUACGGGCAAACUAGAAUUCGGUAGGGGAGACUGGAAUUCCUGGUGUAGCGGUGAAAUGCGCAGAUAUCAGGAGGAACACCAAUUGCGAAGGCAGCUCGCUGGAACGUAACUGACGCUGAGACGCGAAAGCGUGGGGAGCAAACAGG
Molecule: ribosomal RNA, 253 nt
Filed under: uncultured bacterium
Lineage: Bacteria
Description: partial 16S ribosomal RNA
Rfam family: Bacterial small subunit ribosomal RNA
Source: RNAcentral